Molecule: ribosomal RNA, 274 nt
Filed under: uncultured bacterium
Lineage: Bacteria
Description: partial 16S ribosomal RNA
Rfam family: Bacterial small subunit ribosomal RNA
Source: RNAcentral
AGACGGAGGGGGCUAGCGUUGUUCGGAAUUACUGGGCGUAAAGCGCGCGUAGGCGGAUUGAUCAGUCAGAGGUGAAAUCCCAGGGCUCAACCCUGGAACUGCCUUUGAUACUGUCAGUCUUGAGUUCGAGAGAGGUGAGUGGAAUUCCGAGUGUAGAGGUGAAAUUCGUAGAUAUUCGGAGGAACACCAGUGGCGAAGGCGGCUCACUGGCUCGAUACUGACGCUGAGGUGCGAAAGCGUGGGGAGCAAACAGGAGUAGAAACCCCAGUAGUCC